This 446-nucleotide ribosomal RNA is filed under the name uncultured bacterium. Its description in RNAcentral is "partial 16S ribosomal RNA". It matches the Rfam family "Bacterial small subunit ribosomal RNA", at positions 338 to 795 of the family's 1533-position model. The record is from RNAcentral.
CCUACGGGGUGCAGCAGUCGAGAAUCAUUCACAAUGGGGGAAACCCUGAUGGUGCGACGCCGCGUGGGGGAAUGAAGGUCUUCGGAUUGUAAACCCCUGUCAUGUGGGAGCAAAUUAAAAAGAUAGUACCACAAGAGGAAGAGACGGCUAACGCUGUGCCAGCAGCCGCGGUAAUACAGAGGUCUCAAGCGUUGUUCGGAAUCACUGGGCGUAAAGCGUGCGUAGGCUGUUUCGUAAGUCGUGUGUGAAAGGCGCGGGCUCAACCCGCGGACGGCACAUGAUACUGCGAGACUAGAGUAAGGGAGGGGGAACCGGAAUUCUCGGUGUAGCAGUGAAAUGCGUAGAUAUCGAGAGGAACACUCGUGGCGAAGGCGGGUUCCUGGACAUUAACUGACGCUGAGGCACGAAGGCCAGGGGAGCGAAAGGGAUUAGAGACCCGAGUAGUC